This is a non-coding RNA of Blastosporella zonata, 85 nucleotides long. NCBI's taxonomy places the organism in Eukaryota, Fungi, Basidiomycota, Agaricomycetes, Agaricales, Lyophyllaceae. The record is from the annotation of a GenBank genome assembly.
GGGUCGAUGGCGUAGCUGGUUAUCGCAUCUGUCUCACACGGCUGUGGCGCACAGAAGGUCCUCAGUUCGAACCUGGGUCGACUCA